AUCUUUUAUCUUUUAAUUAAUUAUAACAUCUGCAAAACUCCUAAAACUCCAAAUAACCUCAACACACUCAAAGACCUAAGGAACAAAGUCUCUUCCAAAAUUCUUCAGCAUUUUCUUGAGAUCUAUGGAAGAAUCAUCCCAAAUCCAUCAUCAGUAGUUGUACAUGUAAAUCAUCACCAGAAUCUGUGCCAAAUAGCUUUGGAAACCUGUAUCUAUAUAGCAUCUCGUUGCCGGUAGUUGUACAUCGUUGCCGGUAACUGUAAAAUUCUAUUGGGUGACGGAUUUUGUUUGUAAGAUAAGUGUGUUUUGUUGGAUAGAUGUUUUAGCGAUCUUAGAUUUCGUUUAGUCCACAUACUGCUUGUUGCAUGUUAAAUGUGCAGAAUCUAAAAUCCCUAAUUUAAGAUGUGUGGUAAUGUAUUUAAGAUUUGGGAGUUUCUUGAUGAAUUAAUCAUCUCUUUCUUGUUUCACUUACUAAUUUCUUGUUGAAUUAAUCAUUUUGCUUUCUAUUGAAGCUUUGAAUCUAAAUUAGGGAUAUGUUAGGGUUUUUUUAUAUUAAAAUUCUACUAUUUUUGCUCUUUAUUCUUAAAAUUGGGGAUCUGUUAGGGUUCUUUUGCUUCUUGACAUUUUUGUUGGAUCUUUAAAAUUGAUUGAUUGCCCCUUUUUAAGGCUAUUUGUGGGUUUUAGUAGCUGCUAAUCAUCCCUUGUCAACUCUUUCUUAUGAAUCAUCUUAGAAAGUCAGUAAAAUCAUCUACGGAAGCACAAAAAAUCUAAGACCAAGGUGUUGGUGUGUAUUUUAUCAGUGGUCAUCUUUGGAUUACUGUUGAGAAUGAGUUUUGUAUGCUUAUUUUGUGUUUUGGUGUGGUUUAGGAGGUAGUCCAAAAAGUUGAAUGAUUCUAGCAUGGCUCUUUCCUAUUAGCUUUAGCUAACUGUGGCUCCAAACUCUUGCCUGCUAAUGGAUGAAGUUGGUCUUGUGGGUUUGAAAGCAGCAUUUUGUUUUCCUUUUUCUCAUUUUUUAGUUGACUUAAUUGUAGUAGAAUAUUCUGCUUUAAUAGUUAAUGCCUUGUAGCCUCAUUUUACAAUUUUAAGAGACAAGAAAUUCAGUUUCAAAUUGAUUCAUCAAAAGUUAUAAAGAAUGUCAUGUUACUUCAGUAUUUUGCAUGACAUGUUACUUAGUUCAAUUGUAAAAUCUAUUUAAAUUAUUAUAAGCGUGAUUUCUUUGUUCGUCUGAUUAAAGUAUAUUUUCUUCCAAGAACGUCAUGUGACAUGCCCAGCUUAGAGCUAACGAUAUAAUUAAUAAUAGGAUGGAAAGUAGGAACAAUUAUACAAUUUUGAGCAAUUUUGCACCUCUGGCAGAUGAAUUGAUUUGUCAUGAUGCUUCGGUUCUAUGGCUAACACACUUGUAAUAGUGUUUUAAUUGAAUAUUGCACACUUGAUUUUAAUGUGCAGAACUUUAGAGAUUUUUCCAUGGUUUUUCAUUUGAAAAUAUUGUUGCUAUUUUUCUGUUUUAGCUUACCAUAAAAUCUUCAUUUUGGUUAUUUGUUAUUGUGUUGUGUAGUAUUUUAAUGUAUAACCAGAAGUUGGAGGAAUAUCCUAAGAAGGACCAACUCAAGAAAGUGAAGAUGGCAAUCAAUCAGUUGACGCAAUUAUAUCUGCCAUAGAAUCCAAGCAUCAUGGACGCGUGAAAUUGUAUGGUUGGGGGGUUACGAAAUGAGUUUUAAAAGGAAAAGUUGGAGGUUCUGGGCCUCUAUAAAUGUUAUAACGUGGUUGAAAUGCUAGCUAUAUCCGAUGCUCAUUCAUCGGGAGAAGAUCGAUACCUCUGCACCACAAACUGCUAUUCAACAAAUAUUUCAUCGUCCAUCUACUAGUAGUAACAAACAAGGUACUCUGGAGUUUGUCUAUUAUUAGCUAGCCGAUCGAACAUCGAUGUGGAGACUCAAGGUAUACAUGCCGUCACGUUCACAGGCCUAAGAGUCACCUUCUGAAGUUUAUUUUGUAUUGUUUAUCUCUAUUCCGAAACAAUUAUACUUAGAGAAUUUUUAGUGAACUCAGUAGAGCUUAUAACUUGUACUACCAAUUUUGGGAAGUGUGUUGUUGGGAUUCUAUUUCAGUAGAUUAUAUCAGUUUAUCAUACUUGCUUUA
Molecule: long non-coding RNA, 2139 nt
Organism: Nicotiana tabacum (common tobacco)
Lineage: Eukaryota; Viridiplantae; Streptophyta; Magnoliopsida; Solanales; Solanaceae
Source: RefSeq, a predicted model, not a curated record